AGUGAACGCUGGCGGUAGGCCUAACACAUGCAAGUCGAACGGCAGCACAGUAAGAGCUUGCUCUUACGGGUGGCGAGUGGCGGACGGGUGAGGCAUACAUCGGAAUCUACUUUUUCGUGGGGGAUAACGUAGGGACACUUACGCUAAUACCGCAUACGACCUACGGGUGAAAGCAGGGGAUCUUCGGACCUUGCGCGAUUGAAUGAGCCGAUGUCGGAUUAGCUAGUUGGCGGGGUAAAGGCCCACCAAGGCGACGAUCCGUAGCUGGUCUGAGAGGAUGAUCAGCCACACUGGAACUGAGACACGGUCCAGACUCCUACGGGAGGCAGCAGUGGGGAAUAUUGGACAAUGGGCGCAAGCCUGAUCCAGCCACACCGCGUGGGUGAAGAAGGCCUUCGGGUUGUAAAGCCCUUUUGUUGGGAAAGAAAAGCAGCAGGUUAAAACCCCGCUGUUCUGACGGUACCCAAAGAAUAAGCACCGGCUAACUUCGUG
RNAcentral lists this ribosomal RNA (492 nucleotides) under uncultured bacterium. RNAcentral's name for it is "partial 16S ribosomal RNA". It matches the Rfam family "Bacterial small subunit ribosomal RNA", at positions 29 to 507 of the family's 1533-position model. The record is from RNAcentral.